Molecule: long non-coding RNA, 1371 nt
Organism: Anopheles stephensi (Asian malaria mosquito)
Lineage: Eukaryota; Metazoa; Arthropoda; Insecta; Diptera; Culicidae
Exons: 2
Source: RefSeq, a predicted model, not a curated record
GUGGCAUUGCUCGGUUGUAUACAACUAGUCGGAUGGAUUUGUAUGGGAUUUGACAGCUGAGAUUUGGUUGUACACGACCGUCCGACCAAAAUCAAAAAUUUUUGAUUUUGGUCGGACGGUCGUGUAAACCGAGUGAACUCGCUGGUAUAAACUCAAAAAAAACCUUUGUUUUUCUUCAAAUGACGGAUUGCGGGAUUAUUUGUAAACAAGUGAUUUUGCUACAAACAGCUACAUCGCCAUGGCAAAAACUGUAAUUGACGAAGAAUUUUUGAUCUCUUUAGUGCAAGAACGGCGCUUUCUUUGGGAUCUGCGCGAUCGCAUGUAUAAGAAUAGAGCGGUGACAAAUAAAGCGUGGAAUGAGAUAGGAGCGGAGCUUAAUGUUGAAGUUUGCUGCGGGAACAAACCGGCAAACGAGUGGGUUGAAUAAGUGAAGAAUGAACAGACCCGAUACUCUCGCGCUAGUUUCUUCGUUGCGUUGUAUAUCACCCCGGAUGAUAAUGAUAAGAUUGGGCUUUUCCUUGAUUAACCAGAAUCGGAUAUUAACGGCGGACCCUUGUUGAUAACGAUCUUUUUCCGGUAAACGUAUUUUUAGGAUUGGGUGAGUAAGAACAACUGUUGCAAUCUGAAACAGCUGUGUAUUUAAACAGUAGUGUAUUGUUCUCGCAAGGUCUAUUGAACGUCUGAUUUCUACCGAUCAUUAAUUCUACCGAGUAGAGAAAUCUUGAUUUGAUUUUUGUUAUAGUUUUUCUUUGUUUUUGGCAUGCAAGAAAAUAGAAGAUUCAUGAACGAUGACUAGUUAUGUUGACAUCGUUUGCAUACUCGCAUAGUUAGGACAACUCAUCUACCAAUUUGAAAUCGUCGUCGACAAAUAAAAUUUUACGUUCCUGUCAAUCUUAUCAAUACGAUCCUAGCAGCAUCGAGGUUCAGACGGAUUUAAAAGUAAAGUGUAAUAACUUUAUAAUGAAAAAGGAAUAAUUUACAUCCAGGGUUUGUACCGUUUUUUUAGUAAUUUUUCGCUAAUUAUUUGAUUUCAAAAAUAUCAUAUAUUUUUUAAUAUAAUGAUGAGUCGAGGCUCAAUGAGUUUUCAUUCGUUAGAUGUUAGCACAAUAAGAGGACCAUUCUCACGGUUGCAUAUAGUACGUCGCUACUCCUUCGAGACACACACUUUCACACAUGUACAGGUAAUAUUUAUUAUUGUUUUGUGGUACUUAUUUAUAGCAAAGACAAUAAGUAUGCGAACCAUUUACUGUCUCAUCAGACGGAUGAUUUAAAUCUAAUUGUAAGUUUUAGGAACUAUUCAUUCCCAAACGUUAUAACUGUAUCGAAAAUUUGGAUUACAUCCAAGUAAAUAAAAAUGAAAGUAUUCUCAUU